AGUGAACGCUGGCGGUAGGCCUAACACAUGCAAGUCGAACGGCAGCACAGUAAGAGCUUGCUCUUACGGGUGGCGAGUGGCGGACGGGUGAGGAAUACAUCGCAAUCUACUUUUUCGUGGGGGAUAACGUAGGGAAACUUACGCUAAUACCGCAUACGACCUACGGGUGAAAUCAGGGGAUCUUCGGACCUUGCGCGAUUGAAUGAGCCGAUGUCGGAUUAGCUAGUUGGCGGGGUAAAGGCCCACCAAGGCGACGAUCCGUAGCUGGUCUGAGAGGAUGAUCGGCCACACUGGAACUGAGACACGGUCCAGACUCCUACGGGAGGCAGCAGUGGGGAAUAUUGGACAAUGGGCGCAAGCCUGAUCCAGCAAUACCGCGUGAGUGAAGAAGGCCUUCGGGUUGUAAAGCCCUGUUGUUGGGAAAGAAAAGCAGCAGGUUAAUACCCCGCUGUUCUGACGGUACCUAAAGAAUAAGCACCGGCUAACUUCGUG
RNAcentral lists this ribosomal RNA (492 nucleotides) under uncultured bacterium. RNAcentral describes it as "partial 16S ribosomal RNA". It matches the Rfam family "Bacterial small subunit ribosomal RNA", at positions 29 to 507 of the family's 1533-position model. The record is from RNAcentral.